UACCCGCGGCCCGAGUGGUGCUCAUUAUUAUUGAGCCUAAAGCGUCCGUAGCUGGCCGGGCAAAUCUCCGGGGAAAUCGGGCGGCUCAACCGUCCGAAUUCCGGAGACACUUCCCGGCUUGAGAUCGGGAGAGGGAGAAGGUACUCCCGGGGUAGGGGUAAAAUCCUGUAAUCCGGGGGGGACCACCAGUGGCGAAGGCGUUCUCCUAGAACGAAUCUGACAGUGAGGGACGAAGCCCUAGGGCGCAAACGGG
This 253-nucleotide ribosomal RNA is filed under the name uncultured bacterium. Its description in RNAcentral is "partial 16S ribosomal RNA". It matches the Rfam family "Archaeal small subunit ribosomal RNA", at positions 474 to 727 of the family's 1478-position model. The record is from RNAcentral.